Molecule: long non-coding RNA, 691 nt
Organism: Patella vulgata (common limpet)
Lineage: Eukaryota; Metazoa; Mollusca; Gastropoda; Patellidae
Exons: 5
Source: RefSeq, a predicted model, not a curated record
GCAGUGUGGCCAGUGUGGAGUCUUCCAAGCGCCUGCAUGGUUCUUCGACUGAGCUGUCGUGAGCCGUAGCAUGUUACUGACGUUGUAGUGUGAAUGAUUCAACCAGGUAUGGGGUGCAUUUUAUAGACCUGGUCCCGGUGAACAGCACGUGCAGCAUGAGUUUCAUGAAAAUCAUGGAGAACACAUUACCAUCUCAGAAGUCAGGUUGCGUUUUUGAGAACAUUUCCUGGGUUCAAUUCUGUGUUUGGGAAGGAACCUUCUUGCUCAGGUUCCAAAGAAUAGAGCUUCAAUAAUAUCUCUCAGUACCGUGUAGAAGUUGUGAUGUUGUAUGAAGAUUAAAAUGAUGAUGUUGCAGUCUUCAACAACAAUGUCUUUCGAAGAACAAAGCAAAAGAAUCCUGAUUAUUGUACAAUUUAAAACAAUGUACAGACAACCUGACGAACAUUUGCCCAAAACAGCUUUUAAAAAUGCUUUCCAACUCAUAUAUCAAACUAUGUAUUUGAAUUUAUUUUUAGAGGAACAAUUUUAAAUAAAUAUAACCGAUGAUGUGCUAAAAUUUUAAUAGAAGUUAAUAUUUGUGUUGAUCAAUCUAAUUAAAACUAGAAGUUUUUUGUGUAUAUCGAUCAAAUUAAAGCUAUAUGUUGUUUUUUGUAUAUCAAUCUUAUUAAAACUAGAUGUUGUUUUUUGUAUA